Molecule: non-coding RNA, 1110 nt
Organism: Drosophila suzukii
Lineage: Eukaryota; Metazoa; Arthropoda; Insecta; Diptera; Drosophilidae
Source: RefSeq, a predicted model, not a curated record
UCCUAAUCACCUUCCUUGAUGCAAGCUUUCAUUGGAAAAAAUUUAGCAAUAAAUGUUUAUAAUAUGUUGAAUAUAAGAAAAGUAAUUCUAACAAAGGAAAUUAUACUAUACUGGGUACUCUGGUUUUUAUUAGAUGAAUGUUUUGAAGGAGCCCCCAGAAAUUCAAUUCUGAUAAUUUGAAUAAGCUUCUUUAAAAUAGCUUUAACCUGCUGCCCAAAACGAAGCCUCACAACGGCAGCCGCAGCUUAACGGGCAUGCCCGCCAAGGAUUUGUCUUAACUUUUCGAACGCAGCAUUCAAAUGCAAAUUUUAUGCAGCAGCGGAGCAGAGAAGCCGCACAAUUCUAGGGAAGGGAACUAAUGAGUGCUCAUUCACGGGGGCGUGGCAGGCGAAGGAAAUGCCUGGAGGCUGACCAGGCUCAGAUUCAGUUUCAGCUGAAGCAGGAGCUCUUUCGUUUGCUUUGGCCCAGGCCCGUAACAGGGUCAAACUACUGACUUCCGAGUGCAACGUCACCGCCUCAAGGAUGGGUUUCACCUGCUUUUCCUCUAAUAAGUGAGCACCUGAAUGCGGCUGGGUGGGUGUGGGUGUGUGGGCCCAUUGUGGGUGCCCUCCUCGCAAGGUGAGCCAUUGAAAGGUGGCCCAAGGAGCAAAGGUGGGUGGCUAAUGCCAAAGAGCCUAGCCACCAGCACCCACACACACGGGCACAACAAAAACUCCUUUCAAAAGUUUUCGGGGCUUUCGGAAUCAAAGCCAAGCCGAGCGGUUUGAAUGGGAUUUGCGCUGGCAAAGGAUUAUGUUUAAAAGCGAUUUUAUUACCAGAAAGGAUAUAUUCUCAUCGAGAGUAUUCUUCGACCUCCGCAGGGAUGUUGGUCAUUUGCCAACAUUUGUUAAGGUGCUUUCAGUCCCCUUCAGGUGGUCUUAGGCUUAAGAUAUAUUAGUAAAAAUGAGAGCUAAAAUUUGUCCAUUUCCUAGCAUUAGGCAUUUACCACAACGCAUUCAUUGUAUACUAUAGGCUUAUUGCUUUAGUAUGGAAUAAAAUCUACUUUUGGAUAAUUAUAUGUUAAUAACGGCCAUCAUAAACACAUUUUAUAGGCCCAUUUUACUUUGUUUA